This 600-nucleotide ribosomal RNA is filed under the name uncultured bacterium. RNAcentral describes it as "bacterial SSU rRNA". It matches the Rfam family "Bacterial small subunit ribosomal RNA", at positions 66 to 712 of the family's 1533-position model. The record is from RNAcentral.
ACGGACCCUUCGGGGUUAGUGGCGGACGGGUGAGUAACACGUGGGAACGUGCCUUUAGGUUCGGAAUAGCUCCUGGAAACGGGUGGUAAUGCCGAAUGUGCCCUUCGGGGGAAAGAUUUAUCGCCUUUAGAGCGGCCCGCGUCUGAUUAGCUAGUUGGUGAGGUAACGGCUCACCAAGGCGACGAUCAGUAGCUGGUCUGAGAGGAUGACCAGCCACACUGGGACUGAGACACGGCCCAGACUCCUACGGGAGGCAGCAGUGGGGAAUCUUGCGCAAUGGGCGAAAGCCUGACGCAGCCAUGCCGCGUGAAUGAUGAAGGUCUUAGGAUUGUAAAAUUCUUUCACCGGGGACGAUAAUGACGGUACCCGGAGAAGAAGCCCCGGCUAACUUCGUGCCAGCAGCCGCGGUAAUACGAAGGGGGCUAGCGUUGCUCGGAAUUACUGGGCGUAAAGGGCGCGUAGGCGGAUCGUUAAGUCAGAGGUGAAAUCCCAGGGCUCAACCCUGGAACUGCCUUUGAUACUGGCGAUCUUGAGUAUGAGAGAGGUAUGUGGAACUCCGAGUGUAGAGGUGAAAUUCGUAGAUAUUCGGAAGAACACCAG